Molecule: ribosomal RNA, 495 nt
Filed under: uncultured bacterium
Lineage: Bacteria
Description: partial 16S ribosomal RNA
Rfam family: Bacterial small subunit ribosomal RNA
Source: RNAcentral
GACGAACGCUGGCGGCGUGCCUAAUACAUGCAAGUAGAACGCUGAAGGAGGAGCUUGCUUCUCUGGAUGAGUUGCGAACGGGUGAGUAACGCGUAGGUAACCUGCCUGGUAGCGGGGGAUAACUAUUGGAAACGAUAGCUAAUACCGCAUAAUAGUAGAUGUUGCAUGACAUUUGCUUAAAAGGUGCAAUUGCAUCACUACCAGAUGGACCUGCGUUGUAUUAGCUAGUUGGUGAGGUAACGGCUCACCAAGGCGACGAUACAUAGCCGACCUGAGAGGGUGAUCGGCCACACUGGGAAUGAGACACGGCCCAGACUCCUACGGGGGGCAGCAGGAGGGAAUCUUCGGCAAUGGACGGAAGUCUGACCGAGCAACGCCGCGUGAGUGAAGAAGGUUUUCGGAUCGUAAAGCUCUGUUGUAAGAGAAGAACGAGUGUGAGAGUGGAAAGUUCACACUGUGACGGUAUCUUACCAGAAAGGGACGGCUAACUACGUG